This 611-nucleotide long non-coding RNA is filed under the name Brassica rapa (field mustard). Its description in RNAcentral is "long non-coding RNA (BRAP_LNC000178)". The record is from RNAcentral. Lineage: Eukaryota; Viridiplantae; Streptophyta; Magnoliopsida; Brassicales; Brassicaceae.
UAUUAUCAAGUUGAACCUUUCUUAAUAUUCUUAUUGCAACUGCAAAAGAUUCCAUAAUAGUUCCCUACUCAAUUAUAUUUUAAGAAUUUUAUCAUUUUAUGGUAACUAUUUUUGUAAACAAAACAUUUGACUAUUUAAAAAAAAAACAAAGCAUACAUGUUCAUAUAGUCAUCAAGUAUGGUACUUGAUGUAUAUAUAUGUUUUUUUACUUCUCUCUAAUAGCCAUAUUCAACUUUUAGGUCUUGAUUUCAUGAUAUCAUCUAACUAACGCAAGUGCAAGUUGAUGGAUUAAAGAAAACUUUCUUUUUGGAAAAAAAAACUUAACUAUUCCGUCAAAAUAAGAGACAAAACAAAGUUCAAAAGAAAAAAAAAUCCGGCAAAACUAGUGAAUCGCACUAAUUCCAAAGAGAAUUCUACAAUUUGUCUUUUUUCCACUUCUCAACUCCCACUAAUAAACCCGAAAAGUCAUUACGUAAUAAUUUCAUUUUGCGCACUAUUAUUUAAAACUAAUGCUAGUAAAUUUCAAUGUGUUACACAAAUUUUCCAAGACAAAUUGAUUUUAUAAUAUUUAAGGAAUAAAGGGAAAUAUCAAAUAUCGUUUUUGAUUGGUG